UACGGAGGGUGCAAGCGUUGUCCGGAAUCACUGGGCGUAAAGGGCGCGUAGGCGGCUCAUGAAGGCUGUGGUGAAAGUCCGGGGCUCAACCUCGGAUCGGCCGUGGCGACUCGUGGGCUGGAGCACUGUAGAGGCGGGUGGAAUUCCGGGUGUAGCGGUGGAGUGCGUAGAGAUCCGGAAGAACACCAGUGGCGAAGGCGGCCCGCUGGGCAGUGGCUGACGCUGAGGCGCGACAGCGUGGGGAGCAAACAGG
Molecule: ribosomal RNA, 253 nt
Filed under: uncultured bacterium
Lineage: Bacteria
Description: partial 16S ribosomal RNA
Rfam family: Bacterial small subunit ribosomal RNA
Source: RNAcentral